RNA transcript from Anolis carolinensis (green anole), 5883 nucleotides. It is a transcript of the gene named ATPase sarcoplasmic/endoplasmic reticulum Ca2+ transporting 2, with no coding region annotated. Lineage: Eukaryota; Metazoa; Chordata; Lepidosauria; Squamata; Anolidae. The transcript is spliced from 21 exons. The record is from RefSeq and is a predicted model, not a curated record.
GAGGGAAGGAAGGAGGGACAGAGGAAGGAAGGAAGCGAGGAGAGGACGGAAGCGGCACACUCCAGACAACGUUGCUCGGCUCCUUCUUCCCUUGAAGGGCAGCCGCUGCCUCUUGGCGCCUCCCCUUGCCUGGCCGCGGCCUCCUUCUCCUCCUCCUCCUCCUCCGCCCAGGGUCUCCCCUUCUUCUCGGAGGCGUCGAGUCCUGUCAGGAAAGGCGAGGGCUCUUCUUUGUUGAGGGGACUCCGCUUCGAGUCCGGCCGCGGCGCUCAGUCCCCUUUCCUCUCCGCCCUGCCCGCCCGCUUCGGCAUCCCCCGCAUGGUGGCCGGGCCUAGGGCUUGGGGGGCUCCGUGAGGGGCGGGAAAGCGAGCGAGAGAGAGAGAGAGAGAGGGAAGCCAGAGAGAGAGAAGAGCGAGGGAGAGUUGAGGGAGGGAGGGAGGCAGAGCGAGCCCCUCUUGCGGCACCAUGGAGAACGCGCACACCAAGACCGUGGAGGAAGUGCUGGCUUACUUCGGCGUCAACGAGAGCACCGGCCUCAGCUUGGAGCAGGUCAAGAAGCUCAAGGAGCGCUGGGGCGCCAACGAAUUACCAGCUGAAGAAGGAAAAACUUUACUUGAGCUUGUGAUCGAACAGUUUGAAGAUUUAUUAGUUAGAAUUUUGUUGCUGGCGGCAUGCAUAUCUUUUGUAUUGGCCUGGUUUGAAGAAGGCGAAGAAACAAUCACAGCCUUUGUAGAGCCUUUUGUAAUCUUACUCAUAUUAGUAGCCAAUGCAAUUGUGGGUGUGUGGCAGGAGAGAAAUGCUGAAAAUGCCAUUGAAGCUCUUAAAGAAUACGAACCUGAAAUGGGCAAAGUGUACCGGCAAGACAGAAAAAGCGUACAAAGGAUAAAAGCAAGAGACAUUGUCCCUGGUGAUAUCGUGGAAGUAGCUGUUGGUGACAAGGUUCCUGCUGACAUAAGAAUUACUUCUAUAAAAUCCACAACUCUAAGGGUAGACCAGUCAAUUCUCACAGGUGAAUCUGUGUCGGUCAUUAAGCACACGGACCCAGUGCCUGAUCCUCGUGCAGUGAACCAAGACAAGAAGAACAUGCUCUUUUCGGGUACCAACAUUGCUGCUGGCAAAGCCAUGGGUGUGGUGGUGGCUACUGGUGUGAAUACGGAAAUAGGCAAAAUUCGUGAUGAAAUGGUGGCUACUGAGCAAGAGAGGACCCCACUUCAGCAGAAAUUGGAUGAAUUUGGAGAGCAGCUGUCCAAGGUCAUCUCACUUAUAUGCAUUGCUGUGUGGAUCAUCAACAUUGGGCAUUUCAACGAUCCGGUUCAUGGCGGCUCCUGGAUUCGGGGUGCUAUCUACUAUUUCAAAAUUGCCGUUGCCCUUGCUGUAGCUGCAAUCCCAGAGGGACUGCCUGCUGUCAUCACUACAUGUUUGGCUCUGGGCACCCGCCGGAUGGCCAAGAAGAAUGCUAUUGUUCGGAGCCUGCCUUCAGUGGAAACCCUGGGCUGCACUUCGGUCAUUUGUUCAGACAAGACGGGCACUCUCACCACCAACCAGAUGUCAGUUUGCAGGGUGUUCAUUGUGGACCGAAUAGAUGGGGAUAGCUGUUCUCUCAAUGAAUUUACUGUGUCUGGCUCAACAUAUGCUCCUAUAGGAGAAGUGCAUAAGGAUGAAAAGCUUGUCAGAUGCUCUCAGUAUGAUGGGCUGAUAGAAUUGGCAACUAUUUGUGCCCUUUGCAAUGAUUCUUCUUUGGAUUUCAAUGAGGCUAAAGGAGUGUAUGAGAAGGUUGGCGAAGCAACAGAAACGGCCCUCACUUGUCUGGUUGAGAAGAUGAAUGUGUUUGACACCGAACUCAAAGGGCUCUCCAGAAUCGAACGGGCAAACGCUUGCAACUCGGUCAUUAAGCAACUCAUGAGAAAGGAGUUCACCCUUGAAUUUUCCAGGGACCGGAAGUCCAUGUCCGUGUACUGCUCUCCAAACAAGCCCAGCCGGACUGCCAUGGCCAAAAUGUUUGUUAAGGGUGCUCCAGAGGGCGUCAUUGACCGGUGCACACAUGUCCGGGUUGGGAGCAUCAAGGUGCCUUUGACGCCUGGAAUUAAGCAGAAGAUCAUGAGUGUCAUCAGAGAAUGGGGCACCGGGAGGGAUACUCUGCGUUGUCUGGCUCUUGCAACACAUGAUAAUCCACCAAGAAGGGAAGAUAUGAAACUGGAGGAUUCUGCAAAUUUCAUUACCUAUGAGACCAAUUUAACCUUUGUGGGUUGUGUGGGGAUGCUGGAUCCCCCAAGAAUUGAAGUCGCUUCUUCCAUAAAGUUGUGCCGGCAAGCUGGCAUCCGUGUGAUUAUGAUCACUGGGGACAACAAGGGGACUGCCGUGGCUAUCUGCCGUCGCAUUGGCAUCUUUGGGGAAGAGGAGGAUGUCACCACCAAAGCCUUUACGGGCCGUGAGUUUGACGAACUUUCCCCAGCUGCCCAGAGAGAUGCCUGCCUAAAUGCCCGCUGCUUUGCCCGCGUGGAGCCGUCUCAUAAAUCUAAGAUUGUCGAGUUUCUGCAGUCUUUUGACGAGAUUACAGCAAUGACGGGUGAUGGUGUCAAUGAUGCUCCAGCCCUGAAGAAAGCUGAGAUUGGAAUCGCUAUGGGAUCGGGCACCGCGGUGGCAAAGACUGCUUCAGAAAUGGUGCUGGCCGAUGACAACUUCUCGACCAUUGUGGCUGCUGUGGAAGAGGGCCGUGCAAUCUACAAUAACAUGAAACAAUUCAUUCGCUACCUCAUUUCCUCAAAUGUUGGAGAGGUCGUUUGUAUUUUCCUGACUGCUGCUCUGGGUUUCCCUGAAGCAUUAAUCCCUGUCCAGCUCUUGUGGGUAAAUCUUGUGACGGAUGGGCUCCCUGCCACGGCCCUGGGCUUCAACCCUCCAGAUCUGGACAUCAUGAACAAACCACCUCGCAAUCCCAAAGAGCCCCUGAUCUCAGGAUGGCUCUUCUUCCGUUACUUGGCCAUUGGAUGUUACGUUGGAGCUGCUACAGUGGGAGCUGCUGCUUGGUGGUUUAUUGCUGCUGAUGGUGGCCCAAGAAUUACCUACUACCAGCUGAGCCACUUCUUACAGUGCAAAGAUGACAAUCCAGAAUUUGAAGGCGUUGACUGUUUGGUCUUUGAGUCUCCAUAUCCGAUGACGAUGGCACUUUCUGUCUUGGUCACAAUAGAGAUGUGUAAUGCCCUCAACAGCCUGUCAGAAAACCAGUCUUUGUUAAGGAUGCCUCCCUGGGAGAACGUCUGGCUGCUGGGUUCCAUCUGCUUGUCCAUGUCUCUUCACUUUCUCAUCCUUUAUGUGGAGCCACUUCCGCUGAUCUUCCAAAUCACACCUCUGAACCUGACUCAGUGGCUGAUGGUGUUGAAAAUCUCGCUGCCCGUCAUCCUGCUGGACGAGACGCUUAAAUUUGUGGCCCGUAACUACCUAGAGCCUGGUAAAGACAGUGUGCCACCUCCCACCAAACCACGUUCCUUGUCCGCAUGCACCGAAGGGAUUUCCUGGCCAUUUGUGCUCAUUACCCUUCCCUUGCUUAUCUGGCUGUAUAGCACAGACACUAACUUUAGUGACAUGUUCUUGUCUUGACCUGAGGGGAUGGUAGUUUGACAGAGCGAUGUUUAACUUAAUCAGUUUUUUUUAUUGUUUAAAGCAAUUGUCUUAUUCUGCUGAAGUUUCACAUGAACAUAUUUGCCGGUGACUGAGGUUCCCAUAUUCAAAACGUUUGGUUUUUCCUUUUCCUUUUUUUCUUUUUGUUUUGAUCCCUGACUCCAGUGGGGAAGUAGUAUCCCCCUCUCCCCCUGCCUUUUAUACACAUCUAGGGUGUCCAUUGACAUGUACAGAGAAAUUAACACUAUUUUAUGCAAAUAUUUUUUGUAGAGGAGACGCAUGUACAGUGUUCUGUUUAAUAGUCAACUCAUCCUUGUAAAAACAAAUCAGAAAAGUGUUUUUGGGGGGAGUGCCAGUGGACACUGUAUCUUGAGCAAACUGUAACUGGUAGCAGAUUUUAGGGAAUGAAUGUCUGUGUAUGUGUGUUUUUGUUUUUCUUAAACUAAAAGCAUGCAACUAUUUGUCUUCUGCAUGGUCAUCUAAUCUUAAUUUGUCAUUCAUUUGGUUUUUUCUGCACUGGGCAGAUUAUACUGCUACCUCAGUAUCUUUCUUCCCCACCUUCCAUUUUUUGCCUUUUCCUUUCUAUUUUCUUUUUUUUUUUAGAUUCAGAAUAAAUCUUGUUUACACCUGUCUUUGUGAGAGGUAUGCCUAUUCUUGCUGGUGCAGAAAACAUCAUUCCAGGGGCAACCUGCUAGUAUUCCCUCCCCCUCCCCUCCCCUCAACACAUGUAGGUUAUUUUUUAACAUGAAUUAUUUAUUUAAAGAUAUCGUAUGCAUUUUUAUUGUAACAGCAUUGUUUCACCAGCAUUGCCCACUUUGGGGGGGUGGGGGGAGGGCCAAAGAGGGAAAAGACUACCUGGAUGAUUUAAAAGGAAGAAACAAGAAUAAUAAAACGUUUUUUAAUUGAAAAAAAUAUAUACUGCUUUUCAUUUCAUUUAUAUCAUAUAGGAGGCUUUUGAGUUCCAUUUUAGCAAAUAGGAUCUAUGUGCCAGAUCUUUCCAUUCCUUUUUGAUUGGGGACAGUUGUAAUGGGACCUGGAAAAAAAAAAGCGAACAACUCUCACAUAUAAUCCACUGACCACAUCCUACCCUGAAGUGGAGAAGUAACAAAUUGUGUGUGUGCGUGUAUGUACAUGUGUGUUUUUUGUAAGAUCUGUAAAUACCACAUGACCAAAUGAACAUAUUGUAUAGAACUAUUUUUAUUUUUAAUGUGGCACUAACCACCAUCAUUCUAUUGCGAUAAAUGUUAGCGCAUGAUGUUGUGUUUCCCCCUGUUCAAAUUGAGUCCUGUAUCAACCAAUGUGUAAGUUCAUUAACAGUCCUAACUGUGUGGUGUUUCUCUCCAAUGCCUUCCAACAUUCAUCGACUGAACCAAACUGGAGUAAUCAUUUAGCCCUAAACACAUUUUUGCAGACUUGUAAGGUUAAUUUUCUUGCAUGCGUCUUUAGCAACGCAUCUCCUGAAAACAUCUGCAUGAAUCUUGUAAAUGGAAAAAACAAAAACAAAAAACAAUAUCUUUCCUUAGGGAGGGAGAAAAAAAAUAGAACUGAAAAACUUGUGUUUCAAGAAGGAAGUGUGUGGUGCUCUUUAAAGCUUCAGUUUUAUGCAGAUCUACCAAUGUGCAAUAUAGUUUUUAAACUGAAAACAGACCUUUGCAAAAGACGUUUUGGGGUUGCAUGAAGUCAAGACUCCCUAAACUGCUAAACAAGAAUUAAAGAGUGAUGAUUGGCCAAGUUUGACCUUUUUUUUCUUUCCAUAUCGCGUUGUGUAAAACGUCAUAGUUUAUAAAAUGUACAGUAUCAAACUGUAAUGCAUGCCUUUCAAUUGUAAGUAGCUGAUGAUCUUUAUUGUAUCUUAGCAUAACACUUUACAAAGCUCUGUACAAUAUGCAAAUCUAUUUAUACAGACUCGUUGACAAAUGGUACUGUUGCUGAAUGUUUAAGAAACUGUUAAAAACGUCGAUUCCAUAACUUCAGCUUUUUGAACAAAAAAAAGAUCUUGGAGUGUGCAAAUAGACUUCUUUUGCACUGUAAUAAUGUAACUUAUUUAAAAGUAAAGCCGUAGACACACAUUGGUGCAAUACACAUGUGAUGCGUUUUAUCAUAACGAAGAAAACAAAAAUCCCUAAUAAUGAACCUAGUCAGUUCAUAAAGACAGCAUGUGUGACUUUUUUUAGAAACUGUAAAUAACAUUGUCUGAUUCAAUGCUGAUGGUGACUAGCAUCACACCUACUACCAUCCUAGUUUUGGGUAAAAUAAACUUAUUAUACAAUA